RNAcentral lists this ribosomal RNA (402 nucleotides) under Fusobacteriota bacterium. Its description in RNAcentral is "Fusobacteria bacterium partial 16S ribosomal RNA". It matches the Rfam family "Bacterial small subunit ribosomal RNA", at positions 355 to 776 of the family's 1533-position model. Lineage: Bacteria; Fusobacteriati; Fusobacteriota. The record is from RNAcentral.
UGGGGAAUAUUGCACAAUGGAGGGAACUCUGAUGCAGCGACGCCGCGUGAACGAAGAAGGCUUUCGAGUCGUAAAGUUCUUUUAUAUGGGAAGAUAAUGAGGUACCAUAAGAAAAAGCCCCGGCUAACUACGUGCCAGCAGCCGCGGUAAUACGUAGGUGGCUAGCGUUGUCCGGAAUCACUGGGCGUAAAGGGUUCGCAGGCGGAAAUGCAAGUCAGGUGUAAAAGGCAGUAGCUUAACUACUGUAAGCAUUUGAAACUGCAUAUCUUGAGAAGAGUAGAGGUAAGUGGAAUUUUUAGUGUAGCGGUGAAAUGCGUAGAUAUUAAAAAGAAUACCGGUGGCGAAGGCGACUUACUGGGCUCAUUCUGACGCUGAGGAACGAAAGCGUGGGUAGCAAACAGG